This 156-nucleotide ribosomal RNA is filed under the name uncultured bacterium. RNAcentral's name for it is "partial 16S ribosomal RNA". It matches the Rfam family "Bacterial small subunit ribosomal RNA", at positions 355 to 509 of the family's 1533-position model. The record is from RNAcentral.
UGAGGAAUAUUGGUCAAUGGCCGGAGGCUGAACCAGCCAAGUCGCGUGAGGGAUGACGGUCCUAUGGAUUGUAAACCUCUUUUGUCGGGGAGCAAAAGGCAUCACGUGUGAUGCUCCGAGAGUACCCGAAGAAAAAGCAUCGGCUAACUCCGUGCC